GUCAUCAUUUAGAACUUGGAAAUCAGCAAAUGCUACGAAUCAGGACUUGGUUUAUUGUUCCUUUGGCUCUCUAUUUUAAAGAAGUGAUGAUAAUUUAAUGAUGAAGAUUAAUCCUAAAAUUGUGUUGCAUGUAUUUUUAUUUCAGAGUGCUAUCUUUAAAUAUUUACUGACAUAUGACUUCUUAGAAUACCGAGGUGAAGGUUUGGUUUUGGACACAGAGUCAAUAUGUGUCAGAGGACUUGCAUCUAGAUCUUCAUAAAUCCAAGAAAAGAGAAGAAGAUACCAGAAGGUUAGAAAUAAUCACCGACCUUUCUACUAACUCUACCCCGUCUAAGAGGCAAAGUUGAGAAAACAUUAAUGACUCCUGCCUCACAUGCCUUCUUUCCCAUCUCUACAAAAUCUUCAUGAAAAUAAUCUACAAAUAUAUCUUUGCAAGAGGACAAGAAAGGAACAGCAUAAGACCAAAGUUUCAGGAGGUCUGUACAUCCAUCCUCUGUACCCUUCUUCAAGGUAAGAGAAGCUUACAGACUCAGGACCCAUGGUCUGGGUGGAAGUUUCUCCAGACAAAAAAAAAAGAGUAACCUGAACAUCAGCCCACACAGAUUUCCCAGCUCAGCAAAGUCUCAAGGAACCUUGGGAGAUAUACUGUGGAUAUACAUGUAUUGAAAUUCAUGCAAGAUUCCUUCAAAGAAGCAACAGUAGCAAUUACUUUAUUCAAUAACAUUAUAAUAAAUUUUCAAGUGAAGUAAAAGUAUUUGGAAGC
Molecule: long non-coding RNA, 763 nt
Filed under: Monodelphis domestica (gray short-tailed opossum)
Lineage: Eukaryota; Metazoa; Chordata; Mammalia; Didelphimorphia; Didelphidae
Description: lncRNA (ENSMODG00000041430.1)
Source: RNAcentral